UGCGCAGGCGGUUUUGUAAGACAGAGGUGAAAUCCCCGGGCUCAACCUGGGAACUGCCUUUGUGACUGCAAGGCUGGAGUACGGCAGAGGGGGAUGGAAUUCCGCGUGUAGCAGUGAAAUGCGUAGAUAUGCGGAGGAACACCGAUGGCGAAGGCAAUCCCCUGGGCCUGUACUGACGCUCAUGCACGAAAGCGUGGGAGCAAACA
Molecule: ribosomal RNA, 206 nt
Filed under: uncultured bacterium
Lineage: Bacteria
Description: partial 16S ribosomal RNA
Rfam family: Bacterial small subunit ribosomal RNA
Source: RNAcentral